Molecule: ribosomal RNA, 253 nt
Filed under: uncultured bacterium
Lineage: Bacteria
Description: partial 16S ribosomal RNA
Rfam family: Bacterial small subunit ribosomal RNA
Source: RNAcentral
UACGGGGGGGGUAAGCGUUGUUCGGAAUUACUGGGCGUAAAGGGCGCGUAGGCGGGCCGUCAAGUCGAGGGUGAAAUCCCCCAGCUCAACUGGGGAAGUGCCUCCGAUACUGGCGGCCUCGAGGGGGAUAGGGGCAUGCGGAACUUCCGGUGGAGCGGUGAAAUGCGUAGAUAUCGGAAGGAACACCGGUGGCGAAAGCGGCGUGCUGGAUCCCUUCUGACGCUGAGGCGCGAAAGCCAGGGGAGCGAACGGG